GGAAGAUCAUCGUCCCCGGUGGGGCGGCUGGACUUCAAAUCCAGAUGGGACCGCCAGCGGUCCUUGGCAGGUUCGACUCCUGUGAUCUUCCGCCA
Molecule: transfer RNA, 95 nt
Filed under: Proteus mirabilis
Lineage: Bacteria; Pseudomonadati; Pseudomonadota; Gammaproteobacteria; Enterobacterales; Morganellaceae
Description: tRNA-Sec
Rfam family: Selenocysteine transfer RNA
Source: RNAcentral